This 484-nucleotide ribosomal RNA is filed under the name uncultured bacterium. RNAcentral's name for it is "partial 16S ribosomal RNA". It matches the Rfam family "Bacterial small subunit ribosomal RNA", at positions 28 to 507 of the family's 1533-position model. The record is from RNAcentral.
AUUGAACGCUGGCGGCAUGCUUUACACAUGCAAGUCGAACGGCAGCGCGGGCUUCGGCCUGGCGGCGAGUGGCGAACGGGUGAGUAAUGCAUCGGAACGUGCCCAGUCGUGGGGGAUAGCCCGGCGAAAGCCGGAUUAAUACCGCAUACGACCUGAGGGUGAAAGCGGGGGACCGAAAGGCCUCGCGCUAUUGGAGCUGCCGAUGUCGGAUUAGCUAGUUGGUGGGGUAAAGGCUUACCAAGGCGACGAUCCGUAGCUGGUCUGAGAGGACGACCAGCCACACUGGGACUGAGACACGGCCCAGACUCCUACGGGAGGCAGCAGUGGGGAAUUUUGGACAAUGGGGGCAACCCUGAUCCAGCCAUGCCGCGUGCGGGAAGAAGGCCUUCGGGUUGUAAACCGCUUUUGUUCGGGAAGAAAUCCUCUGGGCUAAUACCCCGGGGGGAUGACGGUACCGGAAGAAUAAGCACCGGCUAACUACGUG